Long non-coding RNA from Cucumis sativus (cucumber), 1958 nucleotides. RefSeq lists it as uncharacterized. Lineage: Eukaryota; Viridiplantae; Streptophyta; Magnoliopsida; Cucurbitales; Cucurbitaceae. The record is from RefSeq and is a predicted model, not a curated record. The transcript has 2 exons.
CCUUUUUUUUUUUUUUGUGUUUGUUUUCUUUUUCAAGGGAAUUACAUGAGCUUUCUUUGGAGAGAUCUGGCUUUUUAUUCAAAGUUUUGAUCUGUUAAUUUAAUGGUUUUUUCGUUCUUUAUCCUCAUUUGGAAAAAUCUGAGUCCUCUUUCUAGAGAGAUUGUGUUUUUUUUUUUUUUAAUAAUAAUAAUUAUUAUUAUUCAUCUUGAUUAUAGAGUUAUCUUUUUGCUUGUUUUGGAGGUUUUUGAGAAAUCCCAUGACAAGUAGGAAGAAAAAAAAUUGAUUAUUCCUAGUCUUACAUUUUCAAGGCCACCUGAAUGCUUGGCGUUCAAAAACAUUGUAACUUUUUUUUUUAAAAAAAAUGGUGUUCCCAACUAUGUUCUUUUCUCCCCACUUUUGUGAAAAUCUCUCUUUGUAGAUUCAUUAGUUAUAAUCACUUUUUAUUAAUUUAAAUCCUAAUUAAUUUCCCCCAUUAUUAUUUUUUCAAAUUAUAUUCAUUUUCAAAUCUUCCCUUCUAAUCUCAAAUUCUAAUUUAGUUUACUUUUCAUUCUUAUAAUUAAUUUUGGUUUUGUCAGGAUAUUAAAUUUUUUGGACUCCAACAGUUUUAACAUUUUAACACUUUAAGUAGUUGAUAAUUACCUAGUUUGGAUAACAAUUAAUCUAUAUGAUUCGAGAAUAUCACAACUGAGUUUGUCAUUCGAAAAUGAAAGAUUGCAUGGAGAAAUAGGGAGAGAGAGCUUCCUUCAGUCCACUCAUAGAGGGAUUCAAAGGAGUUGCUGAAGUAACUGCCGACUCAUUCACUCAAACACUCAGUAGAGCUCAAAAAGAAAUUAUCGGAGAGAAAGAAGAAAUAAAAUUGGUUCAAAGUAUAUUCUUUUCCUCUAUUGUGAUUGUGUGAAUGAAGCGGGAGAUAUUUUGCACUCUCUCUUUUUCUUUGCUUGGACUGAAGGGAGCUCCUCCUUUUUACUUUCCCCAUAAAACUAUCAAACCCCAAAUAUAUUCAAUAAUUCAAUUCCCCUUUGGUUUUUCUUUCUUUAAUGUGUUUAGAUCAUAUCAUUUCCAUAAUUCAUCCUAACGUGUUCAGGUCGAAUUUUGGAAGGGUAAAGUGUGAUCGGUUUGGUAGAAACACUCUCGGUUUGACCAUUUAAUUUAUUGCUUGAUAUGAUAAUCAAAAGUGAUUAGAAGGGGAGCGAGAAAGAACUACUUUAUUUUUAUAUAUUUCAAAACUUGAUUUACAAUAUUUUGAAAACAAUCCUAGAAUGUAAACAACAAAUUAAAAAAAAAAAAAAAAUCAAUAGUGUAUAUGUAAAGUAGUGUUUAUAUAAGUUUAAUAUUAAAAAAAAUCAAACGUCUAAAAACCAUUUGGUUAAAAAACUUGACCAUACAUUUUUGCAGUAUGAAUAAACUCAAGAUAUUUCUCAGCGUUGGAUGGUACCGAAAUUCUCUAGAGGUCUUUGGUCCCAUUUCUUGUUUAUUAAAUAGUACUAAUAUUAUUUUUUUUUGGAAUGAAAUGAUUUAAUUGAUAAUUAGAUUUAUCUCUUUAUUAAUAUAAUUUUGUGCUAUAUUUUGUUCUCGAGUUUAACAUGUGGAACAGAGAUUCAAACCUCUAAAUGUUAUAGUUGGGAGAGCAUGUAUGGUGAUCCAACUAAAGAUACAUAUAUGUUAUUGUCCACUAAGGUAUAGGCUAAGGCUUCCAUAGCUACCUGCAAAACCUGUCCCUAAAAAGGUAAAAUUUUUGGUACAUUAUCUUACCAUUCACUUUCACAGGUGAAAACAUAGGAAUCAACACAAACCAAACCAUACUCCUUUUCAUUGGUUUCAAUUUGGUUCCGUUUAAUUCCAUUAGAAAGUUAAUGGUAUAUAUUGGAGCAAACUACAUGUCUGAAAUACAUCGUAUAAACAAUGUAAACUUAGUGGAGAUUGUUCUGGUGCACUUACUAAUCAUUCAUCUUUUCAUA